GGAAGGAGGGGGAGAGGAAGCGAGAGCGAGAGAGAGGGAGAGAGGACAGCGUUUUAUCAGCCAAGUGCAGCCUGAAUCGUGAGGAGCGGACGAUGGGGGGAAAAAAAUCCCUCUCCUGUUUCCUUUCCUCCAGCAUCACCUUUAUUAAGAUGUAGACCGGUGCGCUUCCAGAAACCCGGAGCCUGCUGGUCACAGGAGAAUCCUUCUUCCAACAGUUCUUAGUAAAAAACCAAACACAUUUUGGAUUUACGGCUCACUUGUUCUGAACUAAAAGGGGGCUCCUUCAUUUCUUUCUAUGCGUUUGGAGGUGUUGGACCGCAUCUGAGCUGAGUUGUUACCUCUGGAAGUGCACCAGUUUGAUUUCCAAACGCUGGAACGUCAGGAUUCUCUCUCCUUAUGGGGCUUUUGGGAGGACUGGACCUUAUCCUAACGGGACGUAACGCGAACAGGAAUAUAGUGUGAAGGAAGAAAUAAAAGCGCAACGAAUGGGAUUCUUCUUUAACGAGCAAUGGAGAGAGGUUGGAGAGGUGUUGAUCUGCGGCAGCAGGGAGGAACCGGGUCGGAGGAGGAACUGAGAAAAGGUGGAGGAGUUCCAGCAGGAGACUGAGGGUGGACAGGCAGCAGCUGGGUGGUACUCGAGGAGGUAUCCAGAGAGGUAUCCAGGGGCGAGGCCUAGAGAAGCAGUGAGGAUCGGGUAGUACAGGUGGGUAUGAGCACCAGAGACUGGUCAGAGCUGGUUCUAUGAGGAAGGAGUAGAUGGGAAAGAAGUUUAAACACUUUAAGCGCAGCAAUGAGAGCUAGAGUGUACCACUGUUGAAGCGGAACCAUUUGGCGUCUGCCUCAGGGAAACUGCUCCUAUUUAAGGCCCUUGCUGAUUGGUGAUGAUGAGCACCAGCUGGAUCCCAUCAGCCUGCCCCCUGUAGAUCCAGAGAAAACACAAAUCCACUCUCCUGCAGAACCCAACAUGUAGAGAGUCCAGAAGAAUUUCAGCAGUGGUGGGCACCUCUGACUAAAAAGUUAGCUAAUAGACAAAUUAUAAGACUAAAGCGCUAUACCAACAUGGUAUUUAGCAGAAGCUAAUGCUAAAGUGCUAAGUUCAACCAUUUUGACACCCAGCUAAGCUGCAGCCUGUAGCUAUACAGCGAUUCAUUUUGGGUACAGAAUAAACAUAAUUUGUUGCAUCCCAUCACAAAUGGGGAACGUGAGUACAGAAAAAUACUGCGUUAACAGUUUUCACUUGAUAGCAUGAAUAUAAACAUCUGACUACUUGAAAAAUUAGCAUGACCUGCACUCUGCCUCUAUCAGGAAGUAGAAUAAACCUCUGACACACAAACAGUUUUAUAAUGGUAGAGAUAGUGAAACUCAGCCUUAUGUCUUGUAUGUUUUACUCUUACAGUAUCUAGAA
Long non-coding RNA from Xiphophorus hellerii (green swordtail), 1405 nucleotides. RefSeq lists it as uncharacterized. The record is from RefSeq and is a predicted model, not a curated record. The transcript is spliced from 3 exons. Lineage: Eukaryota; Metazoa; Chordata; Actinopteri; Cyprinodontiformes; Poeciliidae.